Molecule: ribosomal RNA, 246 nt
Filed under: uncultured bacterium
Lineage: Bacteria
Description: partial 16S ribosomal RNA
Rfam family: Bacterial small subunit ribosomal RNA
Source: RNAcentral
GACGAACGCUGGCGGCGUGCUUAACACAUGCAAGUCGAGCGGUAAGGCCCUUUCGGGGGUACACGAGCGGCGAACGGGUGAGUAACACGUGGGUGACCUCGCCCUCAGCUCUGGGAUAAGCCCGGGAAACUGGGUCUAAUACCGGAUAUGACUCCAUGACGCAUGUUGUGGGGUGGAAAGCCUUAGUGCGGCUGAGGAUGGGCCCGCGGCCUAUCAGCUUGUUGGUGGGGUGAUGGCCUACCAAGG